UGACGAUCAUAGAGCGUUGGAACCACCUGAUCCCUUCCCGAACUCAGAAGUGAAACGACGCAUCGCCGAUGGUAGUGUGGGG
This 82-nucleotide ribosomal RNA is filed under the name Pseudomonas aeruginosa U2504. The record is from RNAcentral. Lineage: Bacteria; Pseudomonadati; Pseudomonadota; Gammaproteobacteria; Pseudomonadales; Pseudomonadaceae.